GGUAUAAUUACAGAGCUCAGGAGGGAUAGCGCCCAUCUCAGUCUUUUUUAGCAUCCAAUUGAAAUGGUUAACAUUCCUUUGGAUAGCUAGACGGCGAAGCAUGGCGCUGUCCAUUCUGAGCAUUGCAUUUGUACC
RNAcentral lists this microRNA precursor (135 nucleotides) under Physcomitrium patens. Its description in RNAcentral is "Physcomitrella patens miR390c stem-loop (ppt-MIR390c)". Its record names the gene ppt-MIR390c. Lineage: Eukaryota; Viridiplantae; Streptophyta; Bryopsida; Funariales; Funariaceae. The record is from miRBase by way of RNAcentral.